Molecule: microRNA precursor, 203 nt
Organism: Oryza rufipogon (brownbeard rice)
Lineage: Eukaryota; Viridiplantae; Streptophyta; Magnoliopsida; Poales; Poaceae
Rfam family: MIR812 microRNA precursor family
Source: Rfam
UUUAAAUGUAUCUAUGAGUUUUCGUGCCCAACUUUAAUUGUUCGUCUUAUUUAAAAAAUAUAUAAUUAAUAUUUUUAUUGUUAUGAGAUGAUAAAACAUAAAUAGUACUUUGUUCGUGACUUAUGUUUUUAAUUUUUUUUAAAAAAAAUUCAAAUAAGAUGAACGAUCAAAGUUAGACGCGGAAAAUCAUGGUUGCACUUAGA